CUACUAGUAUCCAUGGGGGUCCAUAGGGGUCCCGCUACCCGUUAACCUUUAACAUUCAUAAUCAGUUUCCAGGGCCGUCCCCAUACCCCGUCCGGUAUGGGCGCCAAAACCAUAAACCUCAAUACCCCGUCCGGUAUGAGGGUGAAACGGGCCGUCCCCAUACCUCGUCCGGUAUGGGCGCCAAAACCAUAAACCUCAAUACCCCGUCCGGU
Molecule: long non-coding RNA, 212 nt
Filed under: Carica papaya (papaya)
Lineage: Eukaryota; Viridiplantae; Streptophyta; Magnoliopsida; Brassicales; Caricaceae
Description: long non-coding RNA (CPAP_LNC002686)
Source: RNAcentral